Molecule: ribosomal RNA, 406 nt
Filed under: uncultured bacterium
Lineage: Bacteria
Description: partial 16S ribosomal RNA
Rfam family: Bacterial small subunit ribosomal RNA
Source: RNAcentral
AUUGAACGCUGGCGGCGGGCCUAACACAUGCAAGUCGAACGAGUGGCGGACGGGUGAGUAAUACCUGGGAAACUGCCCGAUGGAGGGGGAAAAAUAAUGGAAACGGUAGCUAAUACCGCAUACCGGCGGAUGUGGCCAGAUGGGAUUAGGGAGUAGGAGGGUGAAAGGCGGACCUCGGCGACGAUCCGUAGCUGGUCUGAGAGGAUGACCGGCCACAUGGGAACUGAGACACGGUCCAGACUCCUACGGGAGGCAGCAGUGGGGAAUCUUGCACAAUGGGCGCAAGCCUGACGCAGCAAUGCCGCGUGUAUGAAGAAGGCCUUCGGGUUGUAAAGUACUUUCAGCAGGGAGGCGGUACCCGCAGAAGAAGCACCGGCUAACUCCGUGCCAGCAGCCGCGGUAAUUC